UACGGAGGAUGCGAGCGUUAUCCGGAUUUAUUGGGUUUAAAGGGUGCGUAGGCGGGACCUUAAGUCAGCGGUAAAAUUGCGGGGCUCAACCCCGUCGAGCCGUUGAAACUGGCAGACUUGAGUGAGUGAGAAGUAAGCGGAAUGCGUGGUGUAGCGGUGAAAUGCAUAGAUAUCACGCAGAACGCCGAUUGCGAAGGCAGCUUACCGGCGCUCAACUGACGCUGAGGCACGAAAGUGCGGGUAUCGAACAGG
RNAcentral lists this ribosomal RNA (252 nucleotides) under uncultured Bacteroidales bacterium. RNAcentral's name for it is "partial 16S ribosomal RNA". It matches the Rfam family "Bacterial small subunit ribosomal RNA", at positions 524 to 776 of the family's 1533-position model. Lineage: Bacteria; Pseudomonadati; Bacteroidota; Bacteroidia; Bacteroidales. The record is from RNAcentral.